AUGAACGCUGGCGGCGUGCCUAAUACAUGCAAGUCGAGCGAACAGACGAGGAGCUUGCUCCUCUGACGUUAGCGGCGGACGGGUGAGUAACACGUGGAUAACCUACCUAUAAGACUGGGAUAACUUCGGGAAACCGGAGCUAAUACUGGAUAACAUGUUGAACCGCAUGGUUCAACAGUGAAAGACGGUCUUGCUGUCACUUAUAGAUGGAUCCGCGCCGCAUUAGCUAGUUGGUAAGGUAACGGCUUACCAAGGCAACGAUGCGUAGCCGACCUGAGAGGGUGAUCGGCCACACUGGAACUGAGACACGGUCCAGACUCCUACGGGAGGCAGCAGUAGGGAAUCUUCCGCAAUGGGCGAAAGCCUGACGGAGCAACGCCGCGUGAGUGAAGAAGGUCUUCGGAUCGUAAAACUCUGUUAUUAGGGAAGAACAAAUGUGUAAGUAACUAUGCACGUCUUGACGGUACCUAAUCAGAAAGCCACGGCUAACUACGUG
Molecule: ribosomal RNA, 496 nt
Filed under: uncultured bacterium
Lineage: Bacteria
Description: partial 16S ribosomal RNA
Rfam family: Bacterial small subunit ribosomal RNA
Source: RNAcentral